UCGAGUCUAAAAAAACUCCCUAAAACCAUUGUGAACUUACCUAUUCGUUGCUUCGGUGGGGCGACCCCUCUAGGGGUCCUCGGUCGCAAGGCGCCCGCCGAAGGUUAUUUAACUCUUGCUUUUUUAUUGUCACAUCUGAGUUAUUACAAAAAUAAUCA
RNAcentral lists this unclassified non-coding RNA (158 nucleotides) under soil metagenome. Its description in RNAcentral is "partial internal transcribed spacer 1". The record is from RNAcentral.